AGUCAAAUAUUUCCCCUACAGAUUGUCAUACAAUCCACACAUGCUACUAGCUACCAAUAGGUCAUGACACCGACACUUUAACUUAUACUACUAUUUGGGUGGAAAUACAAUUCCAACACUUCUACUACACAUCUUUUCCCUUAAGCAUGACAUCUGCAACAUAAAUUUCUGAAAAGGGCCGAAUAUACUCAAUACAGAAGGCUAAAAAGCAUGAUUUCAUCAAGAUCAAGGUUCACACUAGAACCAAUACACUCUGAAGCAAUAACGGACUCUUCUCAAGUCCUUGCACAA
Molecule: long non-coding RNA, 291 nt
Filed under: Capsicum annuum
Lineage: Eukaryota; Viridiplantae; Streptophyta; Magnoliopsida; Solanales; Solanaceae
Description: long non-coding RNA (CANN_LNC020370)
Source: RNAcentral